RNAcentral lists this transfer RNA (70 nucleotides) under Eupristina koningsbergeri. RNAcentral's name for it is "tRNA-Asp". It matches the Rfam family "tRNA". From Rfam's summary of the family: Transfer RNA (tRNA) molecules are approximately 80 nucleotides in length. Their secondary structure includes four short double-helical elements and three loops (D, anti-codon, and T loops). Lineage: Eukaryota; Metazoa; Arthropoda; Insecta; Hymenoptera; Agaonidae. The record is from RNAcentral.
UAAGAAUUAGUUAAAUGUAUAAUAUUAACUUGUCAAGUUAAAGUUAUUAAAUUAUUAUUAAUAUUCUUAG